This 1468-nucleotide long non-coding RNA is filed under the name Coturnix japonica (Japanese quail). Its description in RNAcentral is "lncRNA (ENSCJPG00005021074.1)". Lineage: Eukaryota; Metazoa; Chordata; Aves; Galliformes; Phasianidae. The record is from RNAcentral.
UUUUUUUUUUUCCCCUCUCGCUGUGCAAAUGCAGAUAGCACAGCCUGCUCUGGCCAGGCAAGAAAACGCCGCCGUAGCUCGGGGUACAGCUGUGGACUACCCGGCUUACAGAAAGCCCGGAGCUGCUGUAUCCCUGCCCUACAGAUCUCCAUCCCAGUUGCUCGUUCCAGCUCACUCUCAGCAGUGCCUCAGCGCUCCCGCCCGCAUGGCCGCACCGGGAGGCAGCAGCAGCACCUAGCGGUACCAGCGGCACCGAGCGGCACCAGCAUUCCCUGCAGCCGGGAAACAGUUCCACACUCACUGCUUUCCUCGGGAGAUCCCACCAUUUUUCUGUCUUUUUUCGAAGCAUCUGAACGGCAUCGCUUUGCAUCGCGAGCCUUUUGCUCAAGGGAGCUGAGUAGUUCCCUUGUUUGGCCAGAGAUUUCAGGGAGGCCCCCCUGUGUGUUGGUGUUAUGCUAUUUGGACGCAAGCGGCCCCAGCAAUCGCUGCAGCAUUUUGAUUCAGGACUCUGAGCAAUGCGUGACUGUGGAGCUGUGGUUCAGCGUGCUGCUCUAUCCCUGAGGCCUGCGUAACCAAACUGCCUUCUCUACAGCACAGCUGAGAAACAAAGCCAGUAGUGCCCCACCACAGCAGCACAGAUCUGUGCUGUGUCCUGCUCCCAACAUCCAGCCUGCCUGACAUCAACAUUUAACAUGUAAGUUAUUAAACUGAAAGCUAUCACCCUGAUUAUUGGGGGAAACAGAGGAACUUGGAAGUUAUUUACCAUUCACCUGGUGGUUAAUACAGUGCCCCAAGAAGAUGCUGUGACAACAAAUCAGGGGCUUUCUGUAGGUCUCCAGGAAAGAUGGGGAUGCAAAAAAAGAGUGGCAAAUGAGCCACUGCUGUGCAUGGGGCAGUUUGCUCUGCAGUUCUGCCUGACUCAAGGCUUAUCCCAGAGUGGGAGUUCUGAACAGAACACACGGCCACAUCGUGUUUUGUUUGUUCUCAUUGCCUGUCCCCAACUUUCCAGCGUCAGUUUUAAAGUGGAAAUCAGAUCACAAACGCUAUACAUACAAAUGAUGUAUUGACUAUUUCAGGUGAGCUGUGCCAAAAAGGGGCUACUGCGUGAAACAAUAUAGUGAUACAGUUGCCUGAUUAAGGGAGAACUGAGAAAUUAAAAAUAGGAAGUAGUUACAUAUUGUGUAACGAUCAUCUCUAUGCUGUUACUUCUCUGAGAUGUGAACUGUGAAACAUCCAGUGCUGCUGCAAUUGGCAGCCUCAGGAUUGAUAAGCCACAGUACAAUGUCACUGUUUUCCUAUACUCAUAAAGCACUGCCAACAUCAGUGACUGGAUCAGUUUACGGGAGGAAAAAAAAACAACAAAACAAUCCCAGCCUCAUUAUAUACGUGCACAUCCAUAUGCAGCGGUAUCAACGCGGGCCAUUCUACCGGAGGAUCCAGCAGAUAAAUAACCGAGGCUCUUAUCUCG